AUGGGGAAGACAUCUAAGCAGGCUUUGCUGGCGACGGGGAACACUGCGAGAUCUGAAGUGCGGAAGGCGGGGCUGUUGCUCUCGCAGGCUGCGGGGAUGCGUGGAUGGGCGCAUGAUGUUUCAUUGAGAGAGACGAGGGAGCGCCUGAUUGGCCAGUCUAUGGAGGCUCUGUCGAAUGCAGAAAUCUUGGCCUCACUGGAAGAGGAGGAUGCAAGGAGAGCGAUAGCUCAGGAAGCCAAGACUGAUCCAAAUGCCUACCAAGUGUGUGAUCAGGAGGAGGAUCAGCAGGAGCUCCUCUUGAUGGAGAAUAUGGCGGAUGAUGACGAUGAGUAUGUCAAGUGUGAAGCAGCAGCGCCUAAAGAGGCAUAUGAUCCAGCCUUUAUUCUUGAGAAUGACACGAUGACGCCGAGGAUCCUAGCGGACGCCGCUAAGGGGGAAAUCGGCCUGGCUGAUGAGGUGGCUGUGGCGACUAAAAGUGGACAGCAGAAGAAGAGAGUUAAUCUGUCGACUGAAGAAUUUUUGGCGUUACUGGAGGAGGAGCAAGCAGGAAGAAAGAUAGCCCAGGAAGCCAGCACUGGUCCAAAUGCCUACCAAUCCUGUGCUCAAUCGGAUGAUGAUUGGUCUGAUAAGGAGGAGCAGCAAGAGGUGAUGGAGCUCCUGAAGCAGAAUAUGGCGGAUGACUAUGAUGAGCGUGCCAAGUUUGAAGCAGCAGCGACUGAAGAGGCGGCUACUGAGGAUGAGAUAAGGAUGAUGAGGAUCUCUGAGGAAGCGACUGAGGUAGCUGCUGAGGAGGAGAUGAUGAUGAUGGGAUUGGGGGAUCUGGCCGAGGAGGACGCUGAGGAGCUGACCAAAAGUGGAGAGCAGAAUAAGAGGAGGAGGAGACGCAAUCGGUCCGCUCAUGACAUGAUGGUGGAAGCGAGAGACAAGCAAGGGAAACGUCCUCAGGAAGCCUUAACCGAUCCAUACGCCUACGAGGCCCGUGGUCACCGCAUAGAUUGGGACUGGAUCUUCGCCAGACACUACGGCCCCUUUGACCAGAUUACGUCCAUCCCACCCUCGUGUUUCACCCACCAUCGCUUCCCUAACCCCUAUGCCGAGCCACAGGAAACUCUUCAGAUCUUCUCGAUCAAAGUUGGAAAAAUAAAGAAGCCCCUAAAGUGGCCAUUGCAUGUUUUUGGUUCAGUAGCUGUACGGGAUGUGAUGGAUCACAAUCGCAUAAUGGUCUUCCAUCGGGAAAGGGAGAACUGCCAAACCCUCAUUAAGAAGGAUCGUUUUCUUACGCUGACAGGUCCUACCCGAGGAGUUGUGGUGGAUGUACAUCCUACCUAUAUUGAGGUUGAUCUGAAAGUAAAGGGCGCCACUGAAUUGGAGGAUAUGGAUUUAAGCUAUUUAGUAGUCAGGUCUAUGCCAUGCAGCCCGUCUUAUCGUGCUGUGCCUAGCAAGCUUAGCACAUUGGAGUUGACAUAUAUUCGGUUGCACAACUGUGUGGAAGCCGCAAUCAGUGUCAAAGUCAAAAAGCAUGGGUUAUGGCCUGGCUGCAGGGGAUUAUUCACUGCCAGCACAGCUAGUUACGAAGACAUGGAGAUUUUGUUGCUUGCUUUUGAAGGUGAUAGGUUGCCGGUUGAUGCUAGUAGAAGGAUUGAACUUUCACGACGUGUGGUCUGUGUCGAGCUUCAUCAGCCUGAAGGUAAGCUAGUAUUUUCGGCGAAGGCACUGCAUGGUAGUGAUCAGAAAAAUGUGAGGAGAGUUCGCAAGACUUUUACUCCCAAGAGAGCUGGUAAAAGCAAGGAGAAUAUUAAGAUUGGUUCCUGUGAGAUGGAGGUAACUGUCACAUGGUCCCUACUUCCCAGUUGCAAGUAUGACUAUGAUAAAUCUUUGGAAAGAGCUUAA
Molecule: ribosomal RNA, 1890 nt
Filed under: Triticum aestivum (bread wheat)
Lineage: Eukaryota; Viridiplantae; Streptophyta; Magnoliopsida; Poales; Poaceae
Description: partial small subunit ribosomal RNA
Source: RNAcentral